This 494-nucleotide ribosomal RNA is filed under the name uncultured bacterium. Its description in RNAcentral is "partial 16S ribosomal RNA". It matches the Rfam family "Bacterial small subunit ribosomal RNA", at positions 28 to 507 of the family's 1533-position model. The record is from RNAcentral.
GACGAACGCUGGCGGCGUGCUUAACACAUGCAAGUCGAACGGAAAGGCCUGCUUUCCCUUGUGGAUUGCGGGUACUCGAGUGGCGAACGGGUGAGUAACACGUGAGUGAUCUGCCCCCAACUUGGGUAUAAGCCUGGGCAACUGGGUCUAAUUCCCGAUAGGACUGCAGGGUUGUGCCUGUGGUGGCAAACGAUUUUCUAGUGGUUGGGGAUGAGCUCGCGGCCUAUCAGCUUGUUGGCGGGGUAAUGGCCUACCGAGGCGGCGACGGGUAGCCGGCCUGGGAGGGUGGACGGCCGCAUUGGGACUGAGAUACGGCCCCGACUCCUACGGGGGGCAGCAUUGGGGGAUAUUGCACAAUGGGCGGAAGCCUGAUGCAGCGACGCCGCGUGGGGGAUGACGGCCUUCGGGUUGUAAGCUCCUUUCGACCGCGAGGAAGCCACCUGGUUGGAAGGGUGGUGACGGUAGUGGUAGAAGAAGCACCGGCUAACUACGUG